This 1146-nucleotide ribosomal RNA is filed under the name Triticum aestivum (bread wheat). RNAcentral describes it as "partial small subunit ribosomal RNA". Lineage: Eukaryota; Viridiplantae; Streptophyta; Magnoliopsida; Poales; Poaceae. The record is from RNAcentral.
AUGCUCCGGCUCCGUCGCAGCCUCCUCUCCCAGAUCCUCUCUUCUCCCUUUGCCUCUCCCAUCUCCCACCUCAGCCGCCUCAUCUCCGCCGCCGCGCCCGCCGUCUCCCGGAACCCUAGAUUCGCCGUGGAGGAGUACCUCGUCUCCACCUGCGGCCUCACCCGACCCCAGGCCCUCAAGGCCUCCCCCAAGCUCUCCCACCUCAAAUCCCCCACCAAGCCCGACGCCGUCCUUGCCUUCCUCGCCGGCCUCGGCCUCUCCCCCGCCGACGUCGCCGCCGUCGUCGCCAAGGACCCCAAGUUCCUCUGUGCCAGCGUGGAGAAAACCCUGGCCUCCGUCGUCGCUGGGCUCACCGGCCUCGGCCUCUCGCGUUCUCAGAUCGCGCGCCUCGUCUCACUCAUCGGUGUCACUUUCCGCUGUAGAUCCAUCAUCGCCGGGCUGCAGUACUGCUUGCCCCUCUUCGGCUCCUCCGAGAACCUCCUUCGAGCCCUACCUCUAGCGGGUGGCUCCGUUCUCGGGUCCGACCUGGAGCGGGUGGUCAAGCCCAAUGUCUCCUUCCUGCUCGAGUGCGGGCUAGGUGCUUGCGAUAUUGCCAAGCUCUACGCAUAUACUCCGUCACCGCUCAGCAUCAGCACGGAACGCAUCCGGACAGCAGUGGCAUGCGUCGAUAGUCUUGGUGUACACCGUGGAUCUCCGAUGUUCAGACAUGCACUACAAGCUGUUGCAUUCCUCAGCGAGGAGAAAAUCACCGCCAAAGUGGAGCACUUGAAGAAAGCGUUCAGGUGGUCGGAUGCCGAGGUGGGCAUUGCCGUUUCUAAGGCUCCAACGGUGCUGACGAGGUCCGAGGACUUGCUGCAGAGCAAAUCGGUUUUCCUUAUCUCCGAGGUGGGACUGGAACCAGCAUACAUUGCUCACCGACCGAUAAUGCUCACUUACAGUCUAGAGGGCCGGCUCAGGCCCCGGUACUACGUCGUCAGAUUUCUCAAGGAAAAUGGAUUGCUAGAUCACGACCGGGACUACUAUGCUGCAGUCAUGAUCAGCGAGAAGGUAUUCGUCGAGAAGUUCAUAUGCCCUCAUAAGGAUGCUGCACCGCAUCUCGCUGAAGAUUAUGCAACAGCUUGCAGAGGGGAGGUUCCAGCUAGAUGA